This 398-nucleotide RNase P RNA is filed under the name Candidatus Endomicrobiellum trichonymphae. RNAcentral describes it as "Candidatus Endomicrobium trichonymphae Bacterial RNase P class A". It matches the Rfam family "Bacterial RNase P class A". Rfam says of the family: Ribonuclease P (RNase P) is a ubiquitous endoribonuclease, found in archaea, bacteria and eukarya as well as chloroplasts and mitochondria. Its best characterised activity is the generation of mature 5'-ends of tRNAs by cleaving the 5'-leader elements of precursor-tRNAs. The record is from Rfam by way of RNAcentral. Lineage: Bacteria; Pseudomonadati; Elusimicrobiota; Endomicrobiia; Endomicrobiales; Endomicrobiaceae.
AGAGACGGAUGUGCAGUCGCUUUACAUUUAUUGUGAAGAGGAAAGUCCGGACUUUAACUGCAAAAAAGCAUAGGCAUUAUUGCAGAAAACGGUAGCAGGUAAUACCUGUCACCCGCAAGGGCAGAGGUGCGAACAGAGACGCCUUUUCCGGAGACGGAAAAAGUAUCCUUAUAUCAAAGGAAACGUUUUCCCGCAAACGAGAAAAUGGGGAAAAUAGCCUGAAAAAAGGAUAAGCUUUUGCAGCAAUGCAGAAGGUGAAACGGCUAAAUCCUUACUGGAAAGCAAGACUGAAGUAUAGUCGCUUGACCGUUAAAAGUGAUUUUAACGGCAGAGAAAUGACUGCACUUUUAAAAUUUAUUUUUAAAAGACAGAAUUCGGCUUAUAAUCCGUCUUUAUUU